CGGUCUUGGGCGAACUCCCCGGGAACUGGGGCCAAUUUUCGAUAGGUGAAGAACCCUGGAAUGGGUCUUCGCCCAAAAGGCGCUUGGAGCAUGCUUCUAGGCGUUGCCCAAGGAUGGGGCCGCGGCCGAUCAGGUUGUUGGUGAGGUAAUGGCUCACCAAGCCUUUAACCGGUACGGGCCGUGGGAGCGGUAGCCCGGAGAUGGGCACUGAGACAAGGGCCCAGGCCCUACGGGGCGCAGCCGUCGCGAAAACUUCGCAAUAGGCGAAAGCUUGACGAGGCCAUCCCGAGUGCCAUCUGCUGAGGAUGGCUUUUACCUAGUGUAGAUAGCUGGGGGAAUAAGGAGAGGGCAAGUCUGGUGUCAGCCGCCGCGGUAAUACCAGCUCUCCGAGUUGUGGGGAUGUUUAUUGGGCCUAAAGCAUCCGUAGCCGGCUGGGCAAGUCCUCUGUUAAACCCAGCGAUCAAUCGUUGGCUUGCGGGGGAUACUGUCCGGCUAGGGGGCGGGAGAGGCCGUCGGUAUUCUCGGGGUAGGGGUGAAAUCCUAUAAUCCCGGGAGGACCACCAGUGGCGAAGGCUGUCGGCUAGAACGCGCCCGACGGUGAGGGAUGAAAGCUGGGGGAGCGAACCGGAUUAGAUACCCGGGUAGUCCCAGCUGUAAACGAUGCAGGCUAGGUGUUAGGGCGGCUACGUGCCGCUCUAGUGCCGCAGGGAAGCUGUUAAGCCUGCCGCCUGGGGAGUACGGCCGCAAGGCUGAAACUUAAAGGAAUUGGCGGGGGAGCAC
This 780-nucleotide ribosomal RNA is filed under the name uncultured archaeon. RNAcentral's name for it is "bacterial SSU rRNA". It matches the Rfam family "Archaeal small subunit ribosomal RNA", at positions 110 to 879 of the family's 1478-position model. The record is from RNAcentral.